Nerophis ophidion (straightnose pipefish) is the source of this 1335-nucleotide long non-coding RNA. RefSeq lists it as uncharacterized. The transcript has 4 exons. The record is from RefSeq and is a predicted model, not a curated record. Lineage: Eukaryota; Metazoa; Chordata; Actinopteri; Syngnathiformes; Syngnathidae.
UCAUUCUGCUGCGAUUGUUUGUCCGGGCGGGUCGGCAUAAUGGAUGAGACAGAGCUAGAGUCCAAUUAAGGAUUAGCUGUGCACAGCUAGCUACUGAAGCCAGCCGGCUCAUCGGGCUUCAAGAGACAGAUUGGUUUCAUGGAAGAACACGGCGACUCUUUACCACUUUGACAGCGAUUCAGUGAAACUUUGCCCGCUAAUGGAAUGUGUGCGGCUACUCUCACUGGUGUGCAUUUCUCUUGGCUGAACUCCGGUUUCUGUGCAGCAGUGCCGAGUGGGACCGGGACGCUGGCGUUGCUGGUGAACAGUACCGGGGCACUGGACAGGAUCUCAGCAGGCAUCAAGCCGGGCGACACCGGGCCAAGCAAGCGCCGCCCUGGGACACGCCCCUGCUCGCACGCAGCUCCUCGGCUAUGGGUAAUCUACAAUCAGCGCACCUGGGGCUGAUGAGGGCCGACACGAUAAAGACCAGCAGACCUGAAGAGCCAGUGCCAGAACUCUCCAUUGAUCGAGCGGUGCGCCUCGCUUCAUUGGACUUCCCUCCGGAUUUUUGGACUGUUUCCCUGGAUCCUUGACCCCCGCUUGGACACGUACCUCGACGCCUCUCUCCAGCCCCCGACCUCUCGCUUGAUUACGGACAUCCUUCUUGCCUUGCUCCACAUUUACAUGAUUAAUUCCUCACAUCGUUUUGCACCAUACACUCUUGGUAGCAUACACACCCCAACACAUCAUUAAGUUCAAUAAACCUGCCGAGCUUAUUCCUGCCGUUAUGUCGUCUCCUUCCCCCAGUGAACCUAACGGUCUCAUUCGGUAAAACAUUUUUAAAUUCCAUUCCAUUUUUUUAAGGUGGUCUCUCAUAAUGUUGUUCUCUAAAAAACGUCCCCCCACCUUGAGUCAAAAUAAUUGCCCAGGCCUGUACUAAUGACAUGUGUGCUGCCCCCUUGGGGUUGUGCUUAUAAUGCUUUGGAAGAUGCAUUUAUUACACUCCAAGUUUUGGAAUCAUUACACAAUGAGAGCGGCCCAUUCUUUCACAAACGUUUGUAGAAACAGUCUCCAUGCCUAAGUGCUUGAUUUGAUACACCUGUGAUUAGGACACCUGGUUAUCAUCAUUCGGAUGGCUGGACAAAUACUUUUGCCAAUGCAGUGUAUUUAACUUGCAUAACUUCUGAGUAAAAAUGUAUGUGUACUGUCUAGUUGUACUCCCCACAGCUGGCUUCGGCACAUGAACCACUCACAACAUCAGGGCUGCUUACGUUAAAUUGAUUAUUGUGUCUUUUUUUUUUUUUUCAAUCAAGCAGUCACUUUAGAUCAGGGGUCUCAAACUCUUAUAUUGUA